GCCAGACACGGUGGCACAUGCUUGUAAUCCUAGUGACUUGGGAGGCUGAGGCAGGAGGAUUGCGAGUUCAAAUCCAGCCUCAGUAACUUAGUGAGGCCCUAAGUAACUCAGCGAGACCCUGCCUCUA
This 127-nucleotide small RNA is filed under the name Marmota monax (woodchuck). Lineage: Eukaryota; Metazoa; Chordata; Mammalia; Rodentia; Sciuridae. The record is from RNAcentral.